This is a long non-coding RNA of Talpa occidentalis (Iberian mole), 642 nucleotides long. RefSeq lists it as uncharacterized. The transcript has 5 exons. NCBI's taxonomy places the organism in Eukaryota, Metazoa, Chordata, Mammalia, Eulipotyphla, Talpidae. The record is from RefSeq and is a predicted model, not a curated record.
GGCGUCCCGCGGAAAAAGGACGGCGGGGACGGGGAGAGUGUAGAGACUCUGGAGCUGUCACUGAAAGUGGAGUGUCUUGUUCAGACAGAGCCAAAAACAAUCCUGCGAUGUCCAAAGCUAUUUAGGAAGCCUAAAGAAAUUGUACAAGGAAGAUCCUACCUGAUGGAAGCAGCAAGAUCUGAGAUAUAAAGGAAAGAAGAACAUUCUAAAUGACACCACUGGGAUUUCAUAAAACCCUGAUUGUGAAAAGCUCUCAAAAGAAUAUGUAUUCGUUGUAGAAAAAAUUCGUUGUAAAUAUGGAGAAGCUGAAAGGUUGACAUAAGUUUCAUAGUCUGAUUGCUUGACAUUUAUUCAGGACCCCCACUCUGCUCUACAUGUGGCUGGUGUUUACUUCAGUGUGGGGAAUACAGAAGGAACUGAGUUCAGAAAACAAAAGGCCUUACAUUCUGGUGUGAAGAGUGAGGUAAAGAUUGUUCUUGUUGCUGGAGGUUUUCAACAGCGCAGCAAUGUGAGCUGAUUUAAGUUUUAAAAAAUUGGUCUAAAUCCUGAAUGGAGAAUGAACUUUGCAAAGGUAAAGAAAGGGGUAAAUUGAAAAGAAAAACAAUCCUCAUAUAUCUGCUUCCAUUUUCGUGGGUAUAUUUU